CGCACAUGACCAAUGAGGGCACGAGAUAAGUUUGUGCACAGAUGGAAGGCUGACAGGCAGAAAGGAUCAUGCUAGCCCACAUCAAACACCUGAUCAAGAACUUGUGAAUCUUCAGGCAGAAAAGAUGAAAACACCUGUUCAAAGUUCCAGUUCCCUGUACAUGGAACCAUGCCUGUCCUCUGUUCCACAUGUGUUAAGUCAGUUUUGGACCCUAUGACUUGGACACUAGUUCUACCAAGGCUUAUUAGAGUUUGCUUCUAGAAGUGGCUUCAACAGACAGAAAUGCCAGAUUGGGAAAGGCUGGGGAAACAUUAUGGACAUGAACAAGAAAAAACAAAAAACACUUUCUUUGUUGCCUUUUCCUUAUCAUAGUGUUACUGUUUUUGUUACCAUUUAAAUAUUGAAUUCUAUUUAUUACUUGUAUUUUAAAUCAAAUGCACCUGUUUUAGAUAAUGUAUUUAUUUUUUAUGUAUAGGUUGAUUUGCAGGUUGGUUGUUAUUUGUAUAAUUAUUGUAUUGUUACUGCGUAUUUUAUUAUAUUAACUAGCUAUUUGUUGCUAUUUAUUAAAUUAAAAUACUGUUAUGAACACUAUACAAUGUCUUUAUUUUUGGUAGAUACCAGAAUACAUGACACAAUGAAUCUUUGUAAUAUAUUUAUGUUCUCUGGUUUAAAUAAUCAUACCAGUAUUUAAACAAUGUAUGCUGGUCACCUGGAAUCCUGGUAAGUUUCCAGCAUGGUAUAUUUAAUACUAUU
Molecule: long non-coding RNA, 753 nt
Organism: Gymnodraco acuticeps
Lineage: Eukaryota; Metazoa; Chordata; Actinopteri; Perciformes; Bathydraconidae
Exons: 3
Source: RefSeq, a predicted model, not a curated record